CUGAGAGUGUUCUAUUAUAUCUGUCUCUGCACUGAUGACUAGGGUUAAUUCAGCCGAUCUGUCUGACUAGUGGAUGCCCCCCUCCUCCCUCAUUGCUCCGUGUGUGUCCUUCCCAAAGCUGUGUGUUUGGUAGAAGAGGAUGGACAUAUUAGAUAAAAGGGUACUACUCUGGACAAGGGUAAACAAUAGUUGUUCUCUCCUGCUAGAAUAUCUAGACAGCAUUUCUGGAAGGGAGGGCUUCUGCAUCAUGUUUUAAAGCAUUACAUCUUAAAAGUCGUCUGU
RNAcentral lists this small nuclear RNA (282 nucleotides) under Salvator merianae (Argentine black and white tegu). Its description in RNAcentral is "7SK RNA (ENSSMRG00000007672.1)". It matches the Rfam family "7SK RNA". Rfam says of the family: 7SK was discovered as an abundant small nuclear RNA in the mid-70s but a possible function has only recently been suggested. Two independent studies have found that 7SK RNA binds the CDK9/cyclin T complex (known as elongation factor P-TEFb). Lineage: Eukaryota; Metazoa; Chordata; Lepidosauria; Squamata; Teiidae. The record is from RNAcentral.